Molecule: ribosomal RNA, 460 nt
Filed under: uncultured bacterium
Lineage: Bacteria
Description: partial 16S ribosomal RNA
Rfam family: Bacterial small subunit ribosomal RNA
Source: RNAcentral
CCUACGGGUGGCAGCAGUGAGGAAUAUUGGUCAAUGGACGGAAGUCUGAACCAGCCAUGCCGCGUGCAGGAAGACGGCUCUAUGAGUUGUAAACUGCUUUUGUACAAGGGUAAACCUGAAUACGUGUAUUCAGCUGAAAGUACUGUACGAAUAAGGAUCGGCUAACUCCGUGCCAGCAGCCGCGGUAAUACGGAGGAUCCAAGCGUUAUCCGGAUUGAUUGGGUUUAAAGGGUGCGUAGGCGGGUUGAUAAGUUAGAGGUGAAAUGUCCGAGCUUAACUCGGGAACUGCCUCUAAUACUGUUGAUCGAGAGAGUAGAUGCGGUAGGCGGAAUGUAUGGUGGAGCGGUGAAAUGCUUAGAGAUCAUACAGAACACCGAUUGCGAAGGCAGCUUACCAAUCUAUAUCUGACGUUGAGGCACGAAAGCGUGGGGAGCAAACAGGAUUAGAUACCCGAGUAGUC